Molecule: long non-coding RNA, 1641 nt
Filed under: Echeneis naucrates (live sharksucker)
Lineage: Eukaryota; Metazoa; Chordata; Actinopteri; Carangiformes; Echeneidae
Description: lncRNA (ENSENLG00000006538.1)
Source: RNAcentral
GCCAACCUCUGCAUUACAAACCCUCCAUCAGACCUCCGCUGAUCCACACUGCCCACAUGGUGACCAAACACCAGGUUUGACACAGACCAAGUCUUUUAUUGCUCUGUAAUUGCAGUUUUUUUUUUUUUUUUAAUCAUUUUUAUGGAGUUAAACUUUGUAGAUGACAUUUCAGGUGAGCAAACAUUCCUCCGCAAACUCUGUGCUCCUUCUCCUCAGGGUCCAUUCGGGGUUUGGCGUAGCGGUCAUGGGAGGAAGGCCAGCAGAAAAUCUUUGUCUUCAGAUCUCAGUUGAGAAGCCAGAUUGUGGAAGUGACAGAUCCUCCAGAGGGGAUCAGCUGUUCAGACUCCCACCACCUCCUGGCAGAGCUCUGCAAAGGGGGCGAACUGAUCCUGCAGCUGUCGGACCAUCAUCCCCGGCUGUGUAACGCGACCAGAGACACUCCCAGCAGAGACCUGGCCUCAUCAUACUCUAUCUUUGCCAUGCUCCCUUCCAGAUACGCUGCCCCGACCACCGGGCUCCACCACAGUGGCCCCCAGGCCACCUUUAAACUCCGAACUAGUACCAGACAAAAAGGAGAGCUGCGUGAUUCGGACAAAGCCGGUUCAUAGCUGUUGAGAUCUCAGUGCAUCUAAGGAGCGCCACAUGAACGCACAUCCAACCACCUGCCUCUGUUGCCUCUGUCUGGACUCUCUCCCAGACUGUCCAAAUCAAAAACAGAAGUUUGAAGAAUGAAUGUUCACAUCUCCUUUAUUUUGGGUUCUUUUAUCUUUUCUCCGGCCAACAGAUCUGCUUAGUUUAGAAACUGGGCUCCACUUACCAAUUUAGUUUUGUUUGUAAAAUGUGUCUGUGGCUGCUGAGCUCAACUCGAGUGCCCCUCUGUUCUAAAAAUCAAUUUUUUUGCUAGAAAUGUUUUGGGAUUUCAAUUUGCCAGUUAAGAUGUUCAUGUCUCCACUGUGGCAAGUGUGACAGCACAAAUCGCACACACCUACUCGUUCGGGUUCAAGAAUGCUUUUGUGCCCACUUUAGAUAAUUAGAGGAUACUAUUGCAUUUAAACAUAGUGUUGAUAUCAAAGCAAGUUUUUUUUACUCAUUUUGUUUUAUUUAAUUUGCUUUGAAAACAGCUAAGGGAAUUAUUGAUCAAUCACCAAUAACUUCCAUCCAACCAUAUCACACAGCAGCACAUGUACCAUGUGAGCCCUUACAAUAAUAAACACUGAAUAAUAGAUAUACUACCUGAAUUAUUUAAAGUCACUUUUAUACACCGUGAAUGUUGCAUUUGCACUGAAGUGAUGAUCCAUGAUGGAGAUUUGAGAGGAAUCUGACAGGGCCUGGAUUUUGUUUUAACCCCUCAUACCUGUUUGUUGCACUCAGCCAGGCCACUUUCUUUUAUAUUUAAUUAAAAUGUUUAUAUGCACAAGAAAAAUGCAAGUUCGUCACUCUACUUGGCUUCUUUUGGAUUUCUGUUUGUGAGACUCCUGAGAGGUGUUCAUUGUCUGGUGUGGGUUUUGUUUUUUCUUUUGUUUUUUAAUUUUACUUUUUGUUUGACUCUAAUAAAUGUUUUUGCCACAUGUGUUGACAUAAUUGUUUCCGAGCUCAAGGGCAGCAUGACCUCCACUCAGUGAGUGUCUGCAGAAACGUUUC